RNAcentral lists this ribosomal RNA (301 nucleotides) under uncultured bacterium. RNAcentral describes it as "partial 16S ribosomal RNA". It matches the Rfam family "Bacterial small subunit ribosomal RNA", at positions 509 to 809 of the family's 1533-position model. The record is from RNAcentral.
CAGUAGCCGCGGGAAUACAGAGGGUGCGAACGUUGCUCGGAAUUACUGGGCGUAAAGCGCGUGUAGGCGGGUCGGCAAGUCAGGCGUGAAAUCCCCAGGCUCAACCUGGGAACUGCGCUUGAAACUGCCGGUCUUGAGUAUCGGAGAGGGUGGCGGAAUUCCUGGCGUAGAGGUGAAAUUCGUAGAUAUCAGGAGGAACACCGGUGGCGAAGGCGGCCACCUGGACGAUAACUGACGCUGAGACGCGAAAGCGUGGGGAGCAAACAGGAUUAGAUACCCCGGUAGUCCCUGUCUCUUAUAA